AAGAUCAAAAUAGAUUUGAUAAAGCUCCUAAAAAAGGCGAACCCUUUGAAGAAACAUGGAAUCUUCAUUCCAUCGCAAGAUGCAUGUAUGCAACAGAUAAUUUUGAAAAAUCACGGGCAAAGUGGAAAGCAGCAGAAAAUACUUCUAACUGGGAUACGGAUUCUGAAAAUUUUGAUACUAAUAGAAUAAGAAAAAGGGUUAGGUCUUCGAGAUUAUUAGAUAGUGAUGAUGAAAGUGAUGAUGAACAUCUGACUAUAAAUAAGAAAACAGUAAUUUGUAGACCACCACAACCAAGAGCAAAGUUACUACCAUUUGAGAAUAAUAUUUUAAGUGAAUCGCAAUCGAGCAACUGAGCAAGCAACUUUUUUAUAUCAAAUACAACGCCAGUAAAUGACAGCCGCUUAGUGGCUUUGACAACAACUUCAUCUGUGUUUCAGGAAGCACACUGUUCAACAAUAAGGACUCCUAUUCCAAAUGUAACAAACUCUAUUAUAGAAGCUCCAGCAGAUUACAAGCGGCUGAUAACUUUGUUGGUUCAAAUAAAAGAACAAAAUAAUCAAAUAAUUGAGCGUUUGGAUGGAAUCCCACAGUUUACCAAUUUAAGCGGCUCUCACCAACAAAACAAUUUGCCUGACAAUUUUCCAGUUGAAUUGCCGAUUACAUCAGAAGAAGAAUGACAUUUAUUGGAAGGCUUUCUAAAUAAGAGUAAUAUCCCUUUAUUGACUUCCUAUUUGGCAACAUUGGGAGGGAGUGGUGUUGCAGCUAAAACAAACCGCAUUUUAAGACGUUUGUUAUCUGAUGCCUUAGCAGUUAAUUACAGCUUUCUUGGAAAAAGAAAUAAUAAAAAACCAUUUGCACACCUAAAAUUAAAAUCAGUUGUGGUUGAGGCCAUUCGAAUGAAUUCAGCAGAUAUAACAGAGAAAGAUAUUGAGGACUGCGUUAAAUCGUGGUUAAAGCAUUCUCCCCAAAGAUUAAACAGCUCACAGCGAGCUUCUAAGUAAUUGUGUUUAAACAUGUUUUAAAGAAAAAACCACAAAGUAUGAGUUGGACGGCGUCAGUUUUACAGGAGAAUAGCUAAAGAAGUAGAAGAUAUACUUAAAACUGAUAGUUCAGAAAAUGUAAGUCAAUUCAGUCCUAAUUGUCAUAGUAACAGUUUAGUAUGUGUAAAUGAAUUACCUGUUUGUUCGAAUUCGAAGGUUUGUUCUAGUGUAUCUGAUUUAACUAUUUGAGAUAUUGCAAAAUUUUCUAAUUUACCUGA
Molecule: long non-coding RNA, 1258 nt
Organism: Anoplophora glabripennis (Asian longhorned beetle)
Lineage: Eukaryota; Metazoa; Arthropoda; Insecta; Coleoptera; Cerambycidae
Exons: 6
Source: RefSeq, a predicted model, not a curated record